Molecule: ribosomal RNA, 426 nt
Filed under: uncultured Verrucomicrobiota bacterium
Lineage: Bacteria; Pseudomonadati; Verrucomicrobiota
Description: bacterial SSU rRNA
Rfam family: Bacterial small subunit ribosomal RNA
Source: RNAcentral
AGUCGAGAAUUUUUCACAAUGGGGGAAACCCUGAUGGAGCGACGCCGCGUGGGGGAUGAAUGGCUUCGGCCCGUAAACCCCUGUCAUUCGCGAACAAAUUGGUUCACUUAAUACCUGAACCAUUGAUAGUAGCGGAAGAGGAAGGGACGGCUAACUCUGUGCCAGCAGCCGCGGUAAUACAGAGGUCCCAAGCGUUGUUCGGAUUCACUGGGCGUAAAGGGUGCGUAGGCGGUCGGGUAAGUCUGAUGUGAAAUCUCACAGCUUAACUGUGAAACUGCAUUGGAUACUAUUCGGCUUGAGAGUUGGAGGGGGGACUGGAAUUCUUGGUGUAGCAGUGAAAUGCGUAGAUAUCAAGAGGAACACCAGUGGCGAAGGCGAGUCCCUGGACAACUUCUGACGCUGAGGCACGAAAGCUAGGGGAGCAAA